This 104-nucleotide signal recognition particle RNA is filed under the name human gut metagenome. RNAcentral describes it as "Bacteroidales small SRP". It matches the Rfam family "Bacteroidales small SRP". From Rfam's summary of the family: The non-coding component of the signal recognition particle in Bacteroides The record is from RNAcentral. RNAcentral also lists the same sequence under 2 other names.
ACACGGGUAAGUGCUGCACGGCUAGCUCCCUCUGAAUCCUCCAGGGCGUGAUUGCAGCAAAGGUAGGCUGGUUGUAGCAGCGCGAUGCAGUGAGCUUACCCACC